AGCAGCCGCGGUAAUUCCAGCUCCAAUAGCGUAUAUUAAAGUUGUUGCAGUUAAAAAGCUCGUAGUUGAAUUUCGGGAUCAAUUAAUUGGUCGUGCCUAUGGUACGUACUGAUUUUAUUGGUUUCUCCCUUCUGACGAACCAUGAUGUCAUUAAUUUGGUGUCGUGGAGAAUCAGGACUGUUACUUUGAAAAAAUUUAGAGUGUUUAAAGCUGAAUACAUUAGCAUGGAAUAAUGAAAUAGGACGUUUGAUCCUAUUUUGUUGGUUUCUAGGAUUGACGUAAUGAUUAAUAGGGAUAGUUGGGGGCAUUAGUAUUCAAUUGUCAGAGGUGAAAUUCUUGGAUUUAUUGAAGACUAACUACUGCGAAAGCAUUUGCCAAGGAUGUUUUCAUUAAUCAAGAACGAAAGUUAGGGGAUCGAAGACGAUCAGAUACCGUCGUAGUCUUAACCAUAAACUAUGCCGACUAGGGAUCGGAUGAUGUUAAUUUUUUAAUGACUCAUUCGGCGCCUUAC
RNAcentral lists this unclassified non-coding RNA (511 nucleotides) under uncultured Glomus. Its description in RNAcentral is "SSU rRNA". It matches the Rfam family "Eukaryotic small subunit ribosomal RNA", at positions 569 to 1091 of the family's 1831-position model. The record is from RNAcentral. Lineage: Eukaryota; Fungi; Glomeromycota; Glomeromycetes; Glomerales; Glomeraceae.